Molecule: long non-coding RNA, 476 nt
Filed under: Gallus gallus (chicken)
Lineage: Eukaryota; Metazoa; Chordata; Aves; Galliformes; Phasianidae
Description: long non-coding RNA NONGGAT005244
Source: RNAcentral
GUUAUCCUGGGUCUUUCUGUGCUAGCGUUGGUUUGAGUUCCCCAACAGGGCCUUGUACUGAGGGAUUUUACUGCCCAGCAAACUUCAGCUCCAUCAGCCCCACAGCAUUUCUCUGCCCUAAGGGUCACUUCUGCCAAUCAGGAGCAGCCCACCCAACACCAUGCCCUGCUGGGGAAUACCAGCCAGCCAGGGGCUCUGCGUCCUGCAUUCCAUGCCAGAGAGGGUUCUACUGCCAGGAGCUGGUGGCUGGGGACCCCAAGAGCUGCCCACCACAUACGUACUGCCCUCCAGGCACACAGUUUCCUCAGGCAUGUCCUGAAGGCACCUUUACUCCUCCAAAUAUGACUGGCCUCUGGAAUGAGAAGCAAUGCCUGCCUUGCUUACCUGGUCACUACUGCAGGCGUGGACAGCUAGUGGGGAAAUGUGCUGCUGGAUACUUCUGCCUUGCUGGGAGCUCUCAGCCUACUCCACAGGGC